This 351-nucleotide long non-coding RNA is filed under the name Elaeis guineensis (African oil palm). Its description in RNAcentral is "long non-coding RNA (EGUI_LNC072504)". The record is from RNAcentral. Lineage: Eukaryota; Viridiplantae; Streptophyta; Magnoliopsida; Arecales; Arecaceae.
AUGCUAAUUGAAUCUUGCAUAUGAUAGAUAUUGGAGUUUGAUGAGUUUUUCAUAACCUCCAUCUUGUCGGGACUCAUGAUAGAGAAACUGAAUCAUAUGAUAACUCCACCUAGAGAUUCUACUUAUUCUGUUCUAUUGGAUUGCCAUCACAUACAGCUAGACAUCACUGAUGGAUUGUGAUAACUCACUAGGAUCAUUUUAGAUUGAUGAUCCUUGAUAGGUGUGAGUUGAAAUUAUUUCAAUCCAUUGAAAGGUGUUUCGAUAAUACUAUGAUGGAGAUCAUGGUAUAUCUCACUACCAGAUAGAAGAGAACCUAUGAGUCACACACAAUAAGAGUUUGAUUUAAUCAAA